RNAcentral lists this ribosomal RNA (636 nucleotides) under Pseudosasa acutivagina. RNAcentral's name for it is "eukaryotic LSU rRNA". The stretch from base 238 to 391 matches the Rfam family "5.8S ribosomal RNA". The record is from RNAcentral. Lineage: Eukaryota; Viridiplantae; Streptophyta; Magnoliopsida; Poales; Poaceae.
GGAAGUAAAAGUCGUAACAAGGUCUCCGUUGGUGAACCAGCGGAGGGAUCAUUACCGAGUUUACAAACUCCCAAACCCCUGUGAACCAUACCAUAAUCGUUGCUUCGGCGGGUUUUAACGCCCCGGACCGCACCUGGCUCGCCGGGCUGCUGCCGGACUCAGGCGCCCGCCGGAGGACCCAAACUCUUCUGUAUCUGUUUACGUAUCGUCUGAGUGGAUUUUAUAUCAAUGAAUUAAAACUUUCAACAACGGAUCUCUUGGUUCUGGCAUCGAUGAAGAACGCAGCGAAAUGCGAUAAGUAAUGUGAAUUGCAGAAUUCAGUGAAUCAUCGAAUCUUUGAACGCACAUUGCGCCCGCCAGUAUUCUGGCGGGCAUGCCUGUUCGAGCGUCAUUUCAACCCUCAAGCCCUGCUUGGUGUUGGGGGCCGGCCUGCUUCUCCCCCCUUCUGGAGGGGCCCAGCGGCCGCCCCCGAAAUGAAUUGGCGGUCUCGUCACAGCCUCCUCUGCGUAGUAACAUACCACCUCGCACCGGGAGCUGGACGCGGCCACUGCCGUAAAACGCCCCAACUUUUCACAGAGUUGACCUCGAAUCAGGUAGGAAUACCCGCUGAACUUAAGCAUAUCAAUAAGCGGAGGA